AACGAACGCUGGCGGCAUGCCUAACACAUGCAAGUCGAACGAGAUCUUCGGGUCUAGUGGCGGACGGGUGCGUAAAGCGGGGGAAUCUGCCCUUUGGUUCGGAAUAACAGUUGGAAACGACUGCUAAUACCGGAUGAUGACGAAAGUCCAAAGAUUUAUCGCCAGAGGAUGAGCCCGCGUAGGAUUAGCUAGUUGGUGUGGUAAAGGCGCACCAAGGCGACGAUCCUUAGCUGGUCUGAGAGGAUGAUCAGCCACACUGGGACUGAGACACGGCCCAGACUCCUACGGGAGGCAGCAGUGGGGAAUAUUGGACAAUGGGCGAAAGCCUGAUCCAGCAAUGCCGCGUGAGUGAUGAAGGCCUUAGGGUUGUAAAGCUCUUUUACCCGGGAUGAUAAUGACAGUACCGGGAGAAUAAGCUCCGGCUAACUCCGUGCCAGCCGCCGCGGUAA
This 449-nucleotide ribosomal RNA is filed under the name uncultured bacterium. Its description in RNAcentral is "partial 16S ribosomal RNA". It matches the Rfam family "Bacterial small subunit ribosomal RNA", at positions 29 to 523 of the family's 1533-position model. The record is from RNAcentral.